Molecule: ribosomal RNA, 252 nt
Filed under: uncultured bacterium
Lineage: Bacteria
Description: partial 16S ribosomal RNA
Rfam family: Bacterial small subunit ribosomal RNA
Source: RNAcentral
AACGGAGGGCGCGAGCGUUAUCCGGAUUCACUGGGCGUAAAGCGCGUGGAGGCGGCGCCGUAAGUUGGGCGUGAAAGCCCCGGGCUUAACCCGGGGAGGCCGUCCAAUACUGCGGGGCAUGAGGGCAGCAGAGGGAGGUGGAAUCCCCGGUGAAGUGGUGAAAUGCGUAAAUAUCGGGAGGAACACCCGGGGCAAAGGCGGACUCCUGGGCUGUUCCUGCGGCGGGAGGAGAAAGCGAGGGGAGCAAACGGG